Molecule: ribosomal RNA, 253 nt
Filed under: uncultured bacterium
Lineage: Bacteria
Description: partial 16S ribosomal RNA
Rfam family: Bacterial small subunit ribosomal RNA
Source: RNAcentral
UACGUAGGGUGCAAGCGUUAUCCGGAAUUAUUGGGCGUAAAGAGCUCGUAGGCGGUUUGUCGCGUCUGCUGUGAAAACUGGAGGCUCAACCUCCAGCCUGCAGUGGGUACGGGCAAACUAGAGUGCGGUAGGGGAGAUUGGAAUUCCUGGUGUAGCGGUGGAAUGCGCAGAUAUCAGGAGGAACACCGAUGGCGAAGGCAGCCAUCUGGACCGACACUGACGCUGAGGCGCGAAAGCGUGGGGAGCAAACAGG